GAUGAACGCUGGCGGCGUGCUUAACACAUGCAAGUCGAACGGAAAGACCCUGAGUUUGUGCGGUGCUCGAUUGGGGAAGGCGGGAGUGACACGUGUGUAUCCUGCCCUUGACUUUCGGGGAACUUCAGGAAACUGGGGCUAAUAUAGGAUAGGAUAUCCUGCUGCGUGGUGGGCGUUGGAAAGUUGCGGCUGUUGGGGAUGGACUGGCGGGUUAUCAGCUUGUUGGUGGGGUAGUGGCAUACCAAGGCUGAGAAGGGUAGGCGGCCUGAGAGGGUGAACGGCGACAUUGGUACUGCGGUACGGCGCAGACUCCAAUGGGAGGCAACGGGGGGGAGUCUUGCACAGUGGGCGGGAGUGUGAUGCAGAGACCUCGCGUGCGGGAUGCCGGCCUUCGGGUUGUAAACAGCUGUCGCCUGUGACGAAGCGUGAGUGGCGGUAAUGGGUAAAUAAGCACCGGCUAACUACGUG
RNAcentral lists this ribosomal RNA (468 nucleotides) under uncultured bacterium. RNAcentral describes it as "partial 16S ribosomal RNA". It matches the Rfam family "Bacterial small subunit ribosomal RNA", at positions 28 to 507 of the family's 1533-position model. The record is from RNAcentral.